AGCAAACAAUAUAUCAAUUUUACGGUUGACAUAAUUUUGCAUACGCAUCAAACUUUUGCAAGAAAUCAGAAAUAAAUCUUCUAAAUUACUAAACUAGAGUUCAGAACAUCAAGUUUUUAAUCCAAAAAUCAAAUCUUUACACAAAAUUAAGUUUUCUGUAAAAUUUCUUCAAAACUGCAAACCUAUCGAGAGAGAAACGAGCGGGAGGAGAACGAGACGACAUCGAUUUCGGAGGAGGGCAGCUCCGGCGAGCAGUCCGCUGUCGGCAGCAGCUGCUCUGCCAUCCCUUGCCAACUCUGGAGCAGCAGCAACGGCGGCGACUCUGGGCGAGCAGCAGCUCCAGCGGCGAUCUCCAGACGGUGGCAGCUGCAGCGGGAAACGCGGCGGCGUCAUCGAACCUUCGUCGGAGCCAGAGGUGAAAUCGCGUGUGGGUGUGCAUGCUGUGUCGGUGGGGGAGAAGAGGAAGGGGCAUCGGGCUCAAGCAGUACAACGCCGACGUGGAGGCGUAGGGCGGCGGUUCGCGCCGGACCCUCGCCGGCCUCAGGCGACGGCGGCGGCAGAAACGAGCAGAGGGAGAGAGAGCCGAGCCGUGUGAAAAAGAGAGAUGUGCGUUCUUUGUGUGUGUGCGUGAGUUGUGAGAGAAGAAAGGAGAGAGGAACGCGUGAGGUGAGGAUAAAAAAAGAGGGAAGGGUUUGCUUUAAACAAAAAUCUGAUUUGGGCUUCGUUUUGGGCGGAAUUUUUUUUAAGAAAAGAGAUGGG
Molecule: long non-coding RNA, 759 nt
Filed under: Salvia miltiorrhiza (redroot sage)
Lineage: Eukaryota; Viridiplantae; Streptophyta; Magnoliopsida; Lamiales; Lamiaceae
Description: long non-coding RNA (SMIL_LNC014131)
Source: RNAcentral